Molecule: non-coding RNA, 91 nt
Filed under: human gut metagenome
Description: Glycine riboswitch
Rfam family: Glycine riboswitch aptamer
About the family: This family represents the bacterial glycine riboswitch. Glycine riboswitches usually consist of two metabolite-binding aptamers domains with similar structures in tandem.
Source: RNAcentral
ACCCUCUGGAGAACUCUUUGAUGAGUGCCGACGGUGCAAAGCAAAAGCUAUCACAGUAUUUGCUGAAUCUCUCAGGCAACAGGACAGGGGA